GACGAACCGUCCAAACGUUGUUCGGAAUCACUGGGCUUAAAGGGCGCGUAGGCGGGCUAUCAAGUCCGGGGUGAAAUCCUCCAGCUUAACUGGAGAACGGCCUCGGAUACUGAUGGUCUCGAGGGAGAUAGGGGCACGCGGAACUGUGGGUGGAGCGGUGAAAUGCGUUGAUAUCCAUAGGAACUCCGGUGGCGAAGGCGGCGUGCUGGAUCUCUUCUGACGCUGAGGCGCGAAAGCCAGGGGAGCAAACGGG
Molecule: ribosomal RNA, 253 nt
Filed under: uncultured bacterium
Lineage: Bacteria
Description: partial 16S ribosomal RNA
Rfam family: Bacterial small subunit ribosomal RNA
Source: RNAcentral